This is an RNA transcript of Fragaria vesca subsp. vesca, 975 nucleotides long. RefSeq lists it as uncharacterized. The transcript has 2 exons. NCBI's taxonomy places the organism in Eukaryota, Viridiplantae, Streptophyta, Magnoliopsida, Rosales, Rosaceae. The record is from RefSeq and is a predicted model, not a curated record.
GUAAAGCAUUCUUAAAGCUUAAUACAAGUUCUUGCUUUCUAAGUGUUCUUCUUGUCUUCUUUCGGUUGUUCUAGCCAAGUGUUGUGCGUGAGUAAGGCUGACUUAGCGCAAGGAGGGUGCUAAGGCCGCACGAGUAGCUUAGGAAAAACAGGUUCUGUGACAAUUAAUCAGAACCUGAGAAAACAAAGAUCGACAGUUGGACUCCUAACUGGAUCAGUAUCAUGGUAUGGUCCACGCAACCCUACCCAGCUCUCCUCCAUGGCGUCCCUCAGCUUUAGAUUAUUGACUCUAAGCAAGAAAGAAUUGAACACACUUGACUCAUUUCAUAAUAUCAGUGGAAUUCGAACUCAUGACUUUUCCGGUAUACAUUCACUUGAUCAAAGUUCACCGAAGGAGACGUCCCUCUAACCAUUUCGAUUAUAUAAUAAAAGAAAGAAGAAAAACCGGUCAUCCAUGCAUGGAUGAGAUCGACGAGCGAUCCUUUGUGGAAGGAUGAGGGGAAGUGGUUCUGAUGGGGCUUGAAACAUGCAGCAUCAGCAUGGGGCUUAAGAGUCUUAUCCUUAAAAACCAAUCAAUCAGGGCAAAGGAGAUAGCUUUGCCAGGUAGCUAGCUAGCCAGCCUUGCUUAUCCUCUUUAGUAGUUGCCCGCAAGUUUGGAGUUCGUUUACAAUUGGUUGACUUGUACAUCAAAUUCUGUUAUGAAAAUAAAUGCAUUACCUGCAGUACAGGUAAAAACUGUUAUGUCUGCGCGGCAAGCUCACCAUCCCCAGCAGCCUCUAUCUUGGUAUAGUUCGAACUUCAAUGUAUCAAACCGGUUUGUUCAGUAAACUUCUGAAACGGUUGGGAUGAUCAUCUCCUUUUGAUUAAGCAUGCAUUGUUUGCUCCUGAGCUUGGAAAUCUCAGGGAUAAGAAAUGCAGUACUGUGAUGUUGUUAUGCAGGCACAAGUUAGUUAUUGGCAUCAUAGUCUUCCCUUGC